GCCCCCUUAGCACAUUGUCUUAUAUUUAUCUUUAUCAUUAAUGCACCUCCAACAUAAAAAGGGUGAACUCCACGUGCCCAAUUUUUUCGAGAAUAAAUAUCUAAAUUAACCUCUCAAUUAUUUAUUGUGGUUUAAAAGUAUCCUGAAUUUAUCCCGUUAAGGAGUCGAGGGAAAAAACGAUUGCUUUUUCCAAUUUAGGAUGUAACAUUAUACCAAAAGUCAAACAUAUUGUAUAUGUAUAGGGCUGAAUUUGGCUCAUCACGUCCCCACGACAGGUGGGCACGUCUUUCAUAAUAAGGGCAAUUCAAGCACGGGUGCGGCCCAAACCGAGAACGACGUCGUUUAGUACCUGUCUUGCCUUACUGAAUGGAAACCACCAAACUUUGUACUUUUUUUAUUAUUAUUUGUCAUUAUUUAUUUAUUCGAGAAAGGUUUCCUACGCUAUAAAGGAAACUUUCUCUUUGUAAAUUUGUAAAAGGGCAUUGAUCUUAUUCUCUAGUAAUACAAUCUCUCUCUCUCAAGUUCACAACUAUUGCUUAACUCUUAAGUUAAGUUUACCUUUAUCAUCUAUU
Molecule: long non-coding RNA, 572 nt
Filed under: Nicotiana benthamiana
Lineage: Eukaryota; Viridiplantae; Streptophyta; Magnoliopsida; Solanales; Solanaceae
Description: long non-coding RNA (NBEN_LNC011210)
Source: RNAcentral